Molecule: unclassified non-coding RNA, 225 nt
Filed under: Hevea brasiliensis (rubber tree)
Lineage: Eukaryota; Viridiplantae; Streptophyta; Magnoliopsida; Malpighiales; Euphorbiaceae
Source: RNAcentral
GGGUUAGUCGCCCAUUUUUGACUUCUAUGAUGGCUCCUGCGGUUGCCAAGAAUGGUCUUCCCAAGAUGAUAGGAAUUUAAACAUCUUCUUCCAUUUCAAGGAUAAUAAAGUCCACUGGAAUGAAGAAUUUGCCCACUUUGAUAGGAAUGUUCUCAAGUAUGCCUACAGGAUAUUUAAUAGAUCGAUCAGCCAAUUGCAAUAAGAUUGUUGUGGGCUUCAGUUCUC